AGUGAACGCUGGCGGUAGGCCUAACACAUGCCAGUCGAACGGCAGCACAGUAAGAGCUUGCUCUUACGGGUGGCGAGUGGCGGACGGGUGAGGAAUACAUCGGAAUCUACUUUUUCGUGGGGGAUAACGUAGGGAAACUUACGCUAAUACCGCAUACGACCUACGGGUGAAAGCAGGGGAUCUUCGGACCUUGCGCGAUUGAAUGAGCCGAUGUCGGAUUAGCUAGUUGGCGGGGUAAAGGCCCACCAAGGCGACGAUCCGUAGCUGGUCUGAGAGGAUGAUCAGCCACAGUGGAACUGAGACACGGUCCAGGCUCCUACGGGAGGCAGCAGAGGGGAAUAUUGGACAAUAGGCGCAAGCAUGAUCCAGCCAUACCGCGUGGGUGAAGAAGGCCUUCGGGUUGUAAAGCCCUUUUGUUGGGAAAGAAAAGCAGCAGGUUAAUACCCCGCUGUUCUGACGGUACCCAAAGAAUAAGCACCGGCUAACUUCGUG
This 492-nucleotide ribosomal RNA is filed under the name uncultured bacterium. RNAcentral describes it as "partial 16S ribosomal RNA". It matches the Rfam family "Bacterial small subunit ribosomal RNA", at positions 29 to 507 of the family's 1533-position model. The record is from RNAcentral.